This 1011-nucleotide small RNA is filed under the name Pan troglodytes (chimpanzee). RNAcentral describes it as "retained intron". The record is from RNAcentral. Lineage: Eukaryota; Metazoa; Chordata; Mammalia; Primates; Hominidae.
AACUGGACAUGCUGCUAGAGGUUGGGUGGUCAGACACUGUGAUCCCGGGUGCUGUGCCCGCACUACGGGAAGGGGAAGCAGCGCGUGGGUCUCGCAUCAGGAGGCAAGGCCAGGACCCGCUGACCCAUGCCUCCUGCCGCGGUUAGAGCCCAAGUUUGUCAAGGUAUUUUGGAUCCCGGAGAGCGAGAACCCAGACGACGACAAAAUCUACUUCUUCUUUCGUGAGACGGCGGUAGAGGCGGCGCCGGCACUGGGACGCCUGUCCGUGUCCCGCGUUGGCCAGAUCUGCCGGAACGACGUGGGCGGCCAGCGCAGCCUGGUCAACAAGUGGACGACGUUCCUGAAGGCGCGGCUGGUGUGCUCGGUGCCCGGCGUCGAGGGCGACACCCACUUCGAUCAGCUCCGUGAGUGCGGGAGUGGGUAUGGGGUUGGGGAGGGGGGCAGCGGCGCAGACUCCGGGAGCCCCCGCCGCAGCGGGGCUGUGCGCCCUACCCCAGCUAGGCCCCUUCCCCGCAGAGGAUGUGUUUCUGUUGUCCUCGCGGGACCACCGGACCCCGCUGCUCUAUGCCGUCUUCUCCACGUCCAGCAUCUUCCAGGGCUCUGCGGUGUGCGUGUACAGCAUGAACGACGUGCGCCGGGCCUUCUUGGGACCCUUUGCACACAAGGAGGGGCCCAUGCACCAGUGGGUGUCAUACCAGGGUCGCGUCCCCUACCCGCGGCCAGGCAUGGUUCGUAGCCCAGGGACUUCUACUACAACCCACUUCAAAGCCUCAAGGGUUUGAGAACUUGGCCUGGGGUCUUCUUGGUGAAUGUGGUUUCUUCCUUUAGUUAUGGGUGGGAAAACGUUUCCAUCAUAAGACAAGGCUUGUUUCCCGCCUCUGACUUCCUAGGGCAAGGCUGAUCUCCUCUCUAAUUCUCAGGGCAGGGUUCUGUCCCCAUCCCCCUCCAUGUUCCCAGAGGCUGGGCAUGGAGGGCUGCCUAUCAAGCCCCCAUAUCUAUAUCCCUGCUGUG